GCUCUCAUGGAAUGCAUCACAUCACAAACAUAUCAUCUCACGGAUGAACUUGUCACCAAUAGCCCUCUACUAUAUGUCAUAAUAUGUCCUGCUAUGCCAAGGAGACUAGGUCAUCACCUGGACUUCUCUUAUUUCUCUCAUAUCAUAACAUGUCCCACUGUGCUAAGGAGACUAGGUCAUCACCUGGACUUCUCUUAUCUGAUCUGACAGCCCGGCUGUCUAACUCAUAGUACCAGGAGCGACCUGGAC
RNAcentral lists this long non-coding RNA (249 nucleotides) under Manihot esculenta (cassava). RNAcentral's name for it is "long non-coding RNA (MESC_LNC003357)". The record is from RNAcentral. Lineage: Eukaryota; Viridiplantae; Streptophyta; Magnoliopsida; Malpighiales; Euphorbiaceae.